This 589-nucleotide ribosomal RNA is filed under the name uncultured bacterium. RNAcentral describes it as "bacterial SSU rRNA". It matches the Rfam family "Bacterial small subunit ribosomal RNA", at positions 129 to 716 of the family's 1533-position model. The record is from RNAcentral.
CCUUCAGGUGGGGAAUAACCCAGUGAAAACUGGGGCUAAUACCGCAUAACAUGACGAUGGCACAUGCUGUUGUCUUCAAAGGCGCAAGUCGCCAGAAGAGGGAUCCGCGGCGAUUAGCUUGUUGGCGAGGUAAUGGCUCACCAAGGCAUUGAUCGGUAGCCGGACUGAGAGGUUGGCGGCCACACUGGAACUGAGACACGGUCCAGACUCCUACGGGAGGCAGCAGUGGGGAAUCUUGCACAAUGGACGAAAGUCUGAUGCAGCAACGCCGCGUGGGGGAUGAAGCUUCUCGGAGUGUAAACCCCUUUCGACCCGGAAGAAAUGGCCGGAAGGGUUUGACGGGUACGGGGUAUAAAGAAAGCCCCGGUUAACUACGUGCCAGCAGCCGCGGUAAUACGUAGGGGGCCAGCGUUGCUCGGAAUUACUGGGCGUAAAGGGUCUGUAGGCGGUGCGGCAAGUCGAUAUUGAAAUCCCUAGGCUUUAACCUAGGGGCUGUAGCGAAAUGCCGUGCUAAGUGUGAGAGAGGCGAGUGGAAAUUACGGGUGUAAGCGUUGAAUUGCGUAGAUAUCCGUAGGGAACAUUCCGAGGC